RNAcentral lists this ribosomal RNA (292 nucleotides) under uncultured bacterium. Its description in RNAcentral is "partial 16S ribosomal RNA". It matches the Rfam family "Bacterial small subunit ribosomal RNA", at positions 505 to 796 of the family's 1533-position model. The record is from RNAcentral.
GUGUCAGCCGCCGCGGUAAUACGUAGGGUGCAGGCGUUAAUCGGAAUUACUGGGCGUAAAGCGUGCGCAGGCGGUCUGCUAAGACAGGUGUGAAAUCCCCGGGCUUAACCUGGGAACUGCGCUUGUUACUGGCAGGCUGGAGUGUGGCAGAGGGGGGUGGAAUUCCACGUGUAGCAGUGAAAUGCGUAGAGAUGUGGAGGAACACCGAUGGCGAAGGCAGCCCCCUGGGCUAACACUGACGCUCAUGUACGAAAGCGUGGGGAGCAAACAGGAUUAGAAACCCUAGUAGUCC